CCUGUUCACCAAACCCAAUCUCCGCCCUGCCCAAGCCCAGAUCUGUCUCCCACUGUGCACAGGCCCAACACCCCUUGGGGGCCUGUGUGGAUGUGCCGUGUGUGUGUGUGUGUGUGUGUGUGUGUGUGUGGACACGCAUCCACAAGGGCAGGAGGGAGGGCUCUCCCCUUCCAGAGCUCUAAAAGGGGCCAUGCUGAGGGCAUUCACCAGAAUCUCUCAGUGGGCCUGAGGGAGGCGACAGGAGGCCUGUUGUGCUGACAGUUAGCCAUGGGUCUCGGAAAGGGACGGACUUGUCCAGGAUCCCACAGCGGGGGAGAAGCAGAUCUGGGCCUGAACCUGAUUUCCAAGCCUUGCUCUCUCCCCGACUGCACAGCAACUCUCGGGCUGAGCCCCCGUUGCCGUCUGUGGGGGUGAACUCAGACACCUCCUGUGUGUGCCCACGCCCCCCACCCUGCCGCACCCCACACACAGUACAGCCACCUUCUUGCCCUUUGCAAUCAGAGGACUUGUCUCGGUGAGAAGGAGCUUCUCAGGCCAUAAUCUCAGGAAGAGACUGAGGCAAGCCUAGACUGAGCUCCUCCCACCCGCAUCUCCCAACAGAGACUCCACUUACCCCUCCAUGGGGUGACUGGUGCAUCCUCAGAGCCUCCUGGGGACCAGGAAAGAGGGGUCCCUGACCACGACGACACACAGGGGACAGGACUGGGGCCCCUCACCUGAGACCAGCAGCUCCAGGGGGUCACUGGGGUGUGACAACAGGUAGGGGGAGGGGCUGGAUGAGGCGUAGCACCUGUAGGUCCCCUCAUGGUCUGAGGUCACAGGACUCAUGCUGAAGUUGACCUGAUAAGGUGCAGUUGUGUCCUGCAGACGAAUGUGCUGGGGAGGAGCAGGUGACCCCUCCUUGGACAGGUAGAAGGUGUCGAGCCAGAUUUCCGAGCGACACUGCAGGGUCACAUUCUCUCCCCAGGACACUGAGGGCCCCGGCUGG
Long non-coding RNA from Lynx canadensis (Canada lynx), 988 nucleotides. RefSeq lists it as uncharacterized. The record is from RefSeq and is a predicted model, not a curated record. The transcript has 2 exons. NCBI's taxonomy places the organism in Eukaryota, Metazoa, Chordata, Mammalia, Carnivora, Felidae.